GGCUCUGUGGCUUAGUUGGUUAAAGCGCCUGUCUAGUAAACAGGAGAUCGCUAGUUCGAAUCUGGCCAGGGCCU
Non-coding RNA from Halichondria panicea, 74 nucleotides. The record is from the annotation of a RefSeq genome assembly. NCBI's taxonomy places the organism in Eukaryota, Metazoa, Porifera, Demospongiae, Suberitida, Halichondriidae.